GACGAACGCUGGCGGCGUGCCUAAUACAUGCAAGUAGAACGCUGAAGGAGGAGCUUGCUUCUCUGGAUGAGUUGCGAACGGGUGAGUAACGCGUAGGUAACCUGCCUGGUAGCGGGGGAUAACUAUUGGAAACGAUAUCUAAUACCGCAUAAUAGUAGAUGUCGCAUGACAUUUGCUUAAAAGGUGCAAUUGCAUCACUACCAGAUGGACCUGCGUUGUAUUAGCUAGUUGGUGAGGUAACGGCUCACCAAGGCAACGAUACAUAGCCGACCUGAGAGGGUGAUCGGCCAAGCUGGGACUGAGACACGGCCCAGACUCCUACGGGAGGCAGCAGUAGGGAAUCUUCGGCAAUGGACGGAAGUCUGAACGAGCAACGACGCGUGAGUGAAGAAGGUUUUCGGAUCGUAAAGCUCUGUUGUAAGAGAAGAACGAGUGUGAGAGUGGAAAGUUCACACUGUGACGGUAUCUUACCAGAAAGGGACGGCUAACUACGUG
This 495-nucleotide ribosomal RNA is filed under the name uncultured bacterium. Its description in RNAcentral is "partial 16S ribosomal RNA". It matches the Rfam family "Bacterial small subunit ribosomal RNA", at positions 28 to 507 of the family's 1533-position model. The record is from RNAcentral.